UGGGGAAUAUUGCACAAUGGGGGAAACCCUGAUGCAGCGACGCCGCGUGAGCGAAGAAGUAUUUCGGUAUGUAAAGCUCUAUCAGCAGGGAAGAAAAUGACGGUACCUGACUAAGAAGCCCCGGCUAACUACGUGCCAGCAGCCGCGGUAAUACGUAGGGGGCAAGCGUUAUCCGGAUUUACUGGGUGUAAAGGGAGCGUAGACGGAUGUGCAAGUCUGAAGUGAAAGCCCGGGGCUCAACCCCGGGACUGCUUUGGAAACUGUGUAUCUAGAGUGCCGGAGAGGUAAGCGGAAUUCCCAGUGUAGCGGUGAAAUGCGUAGAUAUUGGGAGGAACACCAGUGGCGAAGGCGGCUUACUGGACGGUAACUGACGUUGAGGCUCGAAAGCGUGGGGAGCAAACAG
RNAcentral lists this ribosomal RNA (403 nucleotides) under uncultured bacterium. RNAcentral describes it as "bacterial SSU rRNA". It matches the Rfam family "Bacterial small subunit ribosomal RNA", at positions 355 to 775 of the family's 1533-position model. The record is from RNAcentral.